GACGAACGCUGGCGGCGUGCCUAAUACAUGCAAGUCGAACGGACGAGUAAGAGCUUGCUCUUAUGAGUUAGUGGCGCACGGGUGAGUAAUGUAUAGUUAAUCUGCCCUACACUGGAGGACAACAGUUAGAAAUGACUGCUAAUACUCCAUACUCCUUCUUAACACAAGUUAAGUCGGGAAAGUUUUUUCGGUGUAGGAUGAGACUAUAUUGUAUCAGCUAGUUGGUGAGGUAAUGGCUCACCAAGGCUAUGACGCAUAACUGGUCUGAGAGGAUGAUCAGUCACACUGGAACUGAGACACGGUCCAGACUCCUACGGGAGGCAGCAGUAGGGAAUAUUGCUCAAUGGAGGAAACUCUGACGCAGUGACGCCGCGUAUAGGAAGAAGGUUUUCGGAUUGUAAACUAUUGU
RNAcentral lists this ribosomal RNA (409 nucleotides) under uncultured bacterium. RNAcentral's name for it is "bacterial SSU rRNA". It matches the Rfam family "Bacterial small subunit ribosomal RNA", at positions 28 to 436 of the family's 1533-position model. The record is from RNAcentral.